GCCGGAGUGGCGGAAUUGGUAGACGCAGUUGAUUCAAAAUCAACCGCUUUAGGGCGUGCCGGUUCGAUUCCGCCUCGGCA
Molecule: transfer RNA, 80 nt
Filed under: Morganella psychrotolerans
Lineage: Bacteria; Pseudomonadati; Pseudomonadota; Gammaproteobacteria; Enterobacterales; Morganellaceae
Description: tRNA-Leu
Rfam family: tRNA
About the family: Transfer RNA (tRNA) molecules are approximately 80 nucleotides in length.
Source: RNAcentral